GCGGACGGCUCAGUAACACGUAGUCAACCUAACUCGUGGACGUGGAUAACCUCGGGAAACUGAGAAUAAACCACGAUAGAUCAUAGUGCCUGGAAUGGCUUAUGGUCCAAACAGUUUACUGCCAUGGGAUGGGACUGCGGCCUAUCAGCUUGUUGGUGAGGUAAUGGCCCACCAAGGCGAUUACAGGUACGGGCUCUGAGAGGAGAAGCCCGGAGAUGGGUACUGAGACACGGACCCAGGCCCUAUGGGGCGCAGCAGGCGAGAAACCUUAGCAAUGUGCGAAAGCACGACUGGGUCAGUCCGAGUGAUUCCUGAUAAAGGAGUCUUUUGCUUGUCCUAAAAGCACAGGUGAAUAAGGGGUGGGCAAGUCUGGUGUCAGCCGCCGCGGUAAUACCAGCACCUCGAGUGGUCAGGACGUUUAUUGGGCCUAAAGCAUCCGUAGCCGGCUUUGCAAGUCUUCGGUUAAAUCCACCUGCUCAACAGAUGGGCCGCUGGAGAUACUACAGAGCUAGGGAGUGGGAGAGGCAGACGGUAUUCAGUGGGUAGGGGUAAAAUCCUCUGAUCCAUUGAGGACCACCAGUGGCGAAGGCGGUCUGCCAGAACACGUUCGACGGUGAGGGAUGAAAGCUGGGGGAGCAAACCGGAUUANAUACCCGGGUAGUCCCAGCUGUAAACGAUGCAAACUCGGUGAUGCAUUGGCUUAUGGCCA
This 709-nucleotide ribosomal RNA is filed under the name uncultured archaeon. RNAcentral describes it as "bacterial SSU rRNA". It matches the Rfam family "Archaeal small subunit ribosomal RNA", at positions 81 to 792 of the family's 1478-position model. The record is from RNAcentral.